Molecule: long non-coding RNA, 1278 nt
Organism: Globicephala melas (long-finned pilot whale)
Lineage: Eukaryota; Metazoa; Chordata; Mammalia; Artiodactyla; Delphinidae
Source: RefSeq, a predicted model, not a curated record
GACCCCCCAGCGGACUUUCCACUCCUUUGGCCACGGGGAGCCGCCAGCUCCCCACCCUCCUCCGGCGUUUCUCGGCUGACCCGCUGACCUCCCGACCCUCGCCUGCACGCGUCGGGCGGUGCGCGAGCAUUCGCGACGAGCCGAGGCCCGCGGUCUCGACGCAGCCGUGGCUUCGGGGGCGGCGGGUUCGCGCGGCCCGUCCCGGGGUCGGGGUCCGGCCGGUCGGCCGGCCGCCCGCUCGAGGGCCGCCCAGGCGAGGCGGAGACGGCAGGGGCUCCGGCCCAAGUAGGCCCGGCGAGUCUCCGCGCGGCCUGGCCUGGCCCCGUGCCCCCGCCCCGAGCCGACGGGAAGCUUAGGAAGGCGGCCCCGGGCCGGGUGCAGGAGAGCAGAGCAGAAAUCAUUUGGAAUCUCGGAAUAAUAAAACUAGAAAGAAAUUGGAGAGAACCUAUUUCCAAAGCUUUAUAAUGCACACCAAGUAAAUCUGACGCCAGAGGAUUAGCUGAAGAACAAGCUCCGUGCCGCUCCCUUCCACAUAGUAAGACUAAAGCCAAGAAAAUCAUCCAGGAAACUUACGGAUGUAGUACCGCAGGAGAGAUACAUGUCCACAUUUAAAGGUGGCUGGCUUUGAUUCUUCUUACACAUUUGGUGACUGAAGCUGCCCCCACCCCAUGACUUAAAAGUAUCGAAGAUGGAACACUUGUUCAGUGACUAAGCUAAUUCUGAAGCCUAAUGUGUUUACAUAAAGAAUGGACCAUAAUAGUAUACAUAUGAAGAAUGGCUUCUGAUUUGAAUUGUAUACGAAGAAAUGGAUCCUACUGGACUUACCACCUCAAAGGGUGAGAAGAGGUGCAUGCCACACCUUUGCAGGUGUCUCUGAAAAUACCAGGAUAAAACCUAAACUCUCACUAAAUUUCUCAACGUGACCUCACCAUGGCCGCUCACCAAUUAGACAAAUAUACUAAGAUUUUCUGUGUGGGGCUUUCCUGUUGGUCCAGUGGUUAAGAAUCCGCCUGCCAACGCAGGGGACACGGAUCCCUGGUCCUGGAAGAUCCCACAUGCAGCGGAGCAACUAAGCCUGUGCGCCAAAACUACUGAACCUGUGCGCCACAACUACUGAGCCUGCGCUCUAGAGCCUGUGAGCCACAACUACUGAAGCCCAUGCACCUAGAGCCUGUGCUCCGCAACAAGAGAAGCCACCGCAAUGAGAAGCCCACGCACUGCAACGAAGAGUAGCCCCUGCUCACCGCAACUAGAGAAAGCCCGCCCGCAGCAUCGAAG